Non-coding RNA from Schistosoma rodhaini, 48 nucleotides. Lineage: Eukaryota; Metazoa; Platyhelminthes; Trematoda; Strigeidida; Schistosomatidae. The record is from Rfam.
AUCCAGCUGACGAGUCCUAAAUAGGACGAAACCUGCGUCAAACUGGAG